RNAcentral lists this ribosomal RNA (402 nucleotides) under uncultured bacterium. RNAcentral's name for it is "bacterial SSU rRNA". It matches the Rfam family "Bacterial small subunit ribosomal RNA", at positions 355 to 774 of the family's 1533-position model. The record is from RNAcentral.
UCGGGAAUUUUGGGCAAUGGGCGAAAGCCUGACCCAGCAACGCCGCGUGAGGGAUGAAGUAUUUCGGUAUGUAAACCUCGAAAGAAUGGGAAGAAUAAAUGACGGUACCAUUUAUAAGCUCCGGCUAACUACGUGCCAGCAGCCGCGGUAAUACGUAGGGAGCAAGCGUUGUUCGGAUUUAAUGGGCGUAAAGGGCGCGUAGGCGGCGCGGUAAGUCACUUGUAAAAUCUCUGAGCUUAACUCAGAACGGCCAAGUGAUACUGCUGUGCUAGAGUGCGGAAGAGGCAACCGGAAUUCUUGGUGUAGCGGUGAAAUGCGUAGAUAUCAAGAGGAACACCUGAGGCGAAGGCGGGUUGCUGGGCCGACACUGACGCUGAUGCGCGAAAGCCAGGGGAGCAAACG